CCAGCCAGCAUGCACCCAUUAUCUCCAGCUUCCGGUCUGUCUUCUCCAUGAGAAGUGCGGAUUCUAUGCUGAAGGGCUACCUUUGCUCAAGGGAUGAGAACCGUUGUAGCUAAAUUCAGAGAGGAAGACAAUUUGGAUUUCUUCUGCAAAUGGGUGCUCUCUCAAGGCUCGGCCUUGUAAAUGGCAGCGACAGGCAGAAGUCAGCCAGUCAGGCAGCGAGGUCCUCCUUGGGAAGCAUGCUUUCUCUCGGAUCUCUGCUUUGUUCUCAUUUUCAAGUUCUUCGGUGGCCAGCCGAAGCCUUUACACUGUUCAAAAUGAAAUUAGAACAGAGACGAGAGUGGCCAAAGAUGACAUCGAAAAGAGGCCCUCUAGCCCUUAGCAGAGACGCAACAGUGUAAUACCCUUCCUCCAACUGGGAAGAAUGUACACCUUUGGUGGAACAGGUUUUCAAACCAAAAGGCUUUUGAUGUGCUGAAGCAAUGAAGACGCCUGCCCUCUUGAGAGGGGUCGGUAUUGGCCAGACCUGACCACAGGGAUAGGUGGGGGCUUUCACUGCAUCCCUAACAGAUCCCGUUACCUCCAGAAGCAAGGGCCAGAGUGGCUACUCAGGUUUCUCUCAACAAGGGGAGCGCUGCAGAAGCUGCUCCCUGUCAACACCCUGAGGAGGCUUGGAACAGGCCACUUUUCUUGACAGAGUUGUCGGGCCUGUGUAGCUGGGCUCUGCCAAAACCAGUGCUCCCUUUCACACUAACGUAAGGAAGCAAUCAGGAUAGGAAACCCGAAGAACUUGGAAUGUAGUCUUUUUAGGGUACUGCUGGUGUGUCUUGCUGGGUAAGACAGCAGAUGAGAACGCAGCGGUAGACCAAGGGUGCUGCAGACCUGGCCUGGUCAGGCACCAGAGCGUCACUGGAAACAUCUCGCUCACAGUCUGUGAGACCGACUUGGCCCUUUUCCACCUCAAAAAAAAUUUUUGCUGUAAUCAAGUGCGUUUUUCAU
RNAcentral lists this small RNA (996 nucleotides) under Rattus norvegicus (Norway rat). Its description in RNAcentral is "uncharacterized LOC102551829". The record is from RNAcentral. Lineage: Eukaryota; Metazoa; Chordata; Mammalia; Rodentia; Muridae.